GACGAACGCUGGCGGCGCGCUUAACACAUGCAAGUCGAGCGAGAACCGGACCUUCGGGUCCGGGGAAAGCGGCGAACGGGUGAGUAACACGUGGGUAACCCACCCUUGGUACUGGGAUAGCCCGGGGAAACCCGGAUUAAUACCGGAUGGCCCAACAGCUCUUCGGGGCGGUUGGAAAAGGUAGCUUCGGCCUCCGACCAAGGACGGGCCCGCGGCGGAUUAGCUUGUUGGUGGGGUAACGGCCCACCAAGGCGACGAUCUGUAGCUGGUCUGAGAGGACGAGCAGCCACACUGGGACGGAGACACGGCCCAGACUCCGACGGGAGGCAGCAGUGGGGAAUCUUGCGCAAUGGGCGAAAGCCUGACGCAGCGACGCCGCGUGGGGGAAGAAGGCUUUCGGGUUGUAAACCCCUUUCAGGAAGGACGAAGCCACUCGGGUGAGUAGCCCAGAGGGUGACGGUACUUCCAGAAGAAGCCCCGGCUAACUACGUGCCAGCCGCCGCCGUAA
Molecule: ribosomal RNA, 508 nt
Filed under: uncultured bacterium
Lineage: Bacteria
Description: partial 16S ribosomal RNA
Rfam family: Bacterial small subunit ribosomal RNA
Source: RNAcentral